AGAUAUAUUUUGCAGAUAGUAUUAACGGGACUUGACAGAAGAAGACAGUGUUGGAUUUUGAGCCUAGGUGGCUGGCCUUACCUAAAGUAUGGAAUAUGCAAGCCCCCAGACUUUUAAACCCAGGAGGCCUUGAGUCUGAGCUGUGUAUAAGGCAUGCAGGCAGAGAUAUUAUCCAUGGACUGCAUUGAGGUUGGGACUUGGUAGAGAGUACAGGUAGAAUAAAGACUGGAGCCAUCCACAGGAGGAAAAUGAUAGUGCAAGAUUGUAUGGAGAGCGGACACUAAGGACACAGCACAUUGUUUCUAUUUAUGUGCCAUAAAGGAGGAGUCGUUCUUUCAAAUCAUUGUACUUAUUUUCAUUUCAUUUUAUUUGCCCAUGAAUUCUUUUUCCAAACCCCUCAAGUGUCUGGUUGAUUUUCCAGAAUCCAUCAUCCUCCAAACCCAAGACAAGAACCUGUUCUCAUUAUUCUGUAUCAUUUCCAUUGUCCAUUUGUAGUAAUUGUUACAUAUGGAUAAUCCACCACUACUUUUUUUUUUUAAGUGCUGGGGAUGAUACCCAAAGCCUCCACAUGCUAGACAAGUGUUCUAUCACUGAGCUACACCCUGGCAACCCAUCCUCUUUCCUUAAGUGGGGUUUCUUUAACAAAAAGUAACAAAAAGUUAGAACAUGUUGUAGCCUUCACCUUCAUCCUUUAAUUAUGCCACAAACAGGAGAAUGGAAGACACCGUCUUACCAUGUUCACAUCAGAAUUAUCCUAGGAGCUGGGCAUGGUGGUGUCCUCCUGUAAUGCCAGCAGCUGGGGAAGCUGAGGCUGGAGGACUGUGAGUUCAAAGCCAGCCUCAGCAAAAGAGAGGU
This 855-nucleotide long non-coding RNA is filed under the name Marmota monax (woodchuck). Lineage: Eukaryota; Metazoa; Chordata; Mammalia; Rodentia; Sciuridae. The record is from RNAcentral.